RNAcentral lists this ribosomal RNA (253 nucleotides) under uncultured bacterium. RNAcentral's name for it is "partial 16S ribosomal RNA". It matches the Rfam family "Bacterial small subunit ribosomal RNA", at positions 524 to 776 of the family's 1533-position model. The record is from RNAcentral.
GACGUGGGGGGCCAGCGUUGUUCGGAAUUACUGGGUGUAAAGGGUUCGUAGGCGGUGUGGCAAGUCGGGAGUGAAAUCUCUAGGCUCAACCUAGAGUCUGCUUCCGAAACUGCUGUGCUUGAGUGUGGGAGAGGCGCGUGGAAUUGCAGGUGUAGCGGUGAAAUGCGUAGAUAUCUGCAGGAACACCCGUGGCGAAAGCGGCGCGCUGGACCACUACUGACGCUGAGGCGCGAAGGCUAGGGGAGCGAACGGG